RNAcentral lists this ribosomal RNA (1553 nucleotides) under Pectobacterium brasiliense. Its description in RNAcentral is "bacterial SSU rRNA". It matches the Rfam family "Bacterial small subunit ribosomal RNA". Lineage: Bacteria; Pseudomonadati; Pseudomonadota; Gammaproteobacteria; Enterobacterales; Pectobacteriaceae. The record is from RNAcentral.
CUUAAAUUGAAGAGUUUGAUCAUGGCUCAGAUUGAACGCUGGCGGCAGGCCUAACACAUGCAAGUCGGGCGGUAGCACAGGAGAGCUUGCUCUCUGGGUGACGAGCGGCGGACGGGUGAGUAAUGUCUGGGAAACUGCCUGAUGGAGGGGGAUAACUACUGGAAACGGUAGCUAAUACCGCAUAACCUCGCAAGAGCAAAGAGGGGGACCUUCGGGCCUCUCGCCAUCAGAUGUGCCCAGAUGGGAUUAGCUAGUAGGUGAGGUAAUGGCUCACCUAGGCGACGAUCCCUAGCUGGUCUGAGAGGAUGACCAGCCACACUGGAACUGAGACACGGUCCAGACUCCUACGGGAGGCAGCAGUGGGGAAUAUUGCACAAUGGGCGCAAGCCUGAUGCAGCCAUGCCGCGUGUGUGAAGAAGGCCUUCGGGUUGUAAAGCACUUUCAGCGGGGAGGAAGGCGGUAAGGUUAAUAACCUUAUCGAUUGACGUUACCCGCAGAAGAAGCACCGGCUAACUCCGUGCCAGCAGCCGCGGUAAUACGGAGGGUGCAAGCGUUAAUCGGAAUGACUGGGCGUAAAGCGCACGCAGGCGGUCUGUUAAGUUGGAUGUGAAAUCCCCGGGCUUAACCUGGGAACUGCAUUCAAAACUGACAGGCUAGAGUCUUGUAGAGGGGGGUAGAAUUCCAGGUGUAGCGGUGAAAUGCGUAGAGAUCUGGAGGAAUACCGGUGGCGAAGGCGGCCCCCUGGACAAAGACUGACGCUCAGGUGCGAAAGCGUGGGGAGCAAACAGGAUUAGAUACCCUGGUAGUCCACGCUGUAAACGAUGUCGAUUUGGAGGUUGUGCCCUUGAGGCGUGGCUUCCGGAGCUAACGCGUUAAAUCGACCGCCUGGGGAGUACGGCCGCAAGGUUAAAACUCAAAUGAAUUGACGGGGGCCCGCACAAGCGGUGGAGCAUGUGGUUUAAUUCGAUGCAACGCGAAGAACCUUACCUACUCUUGACAUCCAGAGAACUUAGCAGAGAUGCUUUGGUGCCUUCGGGAACUCUGAGACAGGUGCUGCAUGGCUGUCGUCAGCUCGUGUUGUGAAAUGUUGGGUUAAGUCCCGCAACGAGCGCAACCCUUAUCCUUUGUUGCCAGCGAUUCGGUCGGGAACUCAAAGGAGACUGCCGGUGAUAAACCGGAGGAAGGUGGGGAUGACGUCAAGUCAUCAUGGCCCUUACGAGUAGGGCUACACACGUGCUACAAUGGCGUAUACAAAGAGAAGCGACCUCGCGAGAGCAAGCGGACCUUAUAAAGUACGUCGUAGUCCGGAUUGGAGUCUGCAACUCGACUCCAUGAAGUCGGAAUCGCUAGUAAUCGUAGAUCAGAAUGCUACGGUGAAUACGUUCCCGGGCCUUGUACACACCGCCCGUCACACCAUGGGAGUGGGUUGCAAAAGAAGUAGGUAGCUUAACCUUCGGGAGGGCGCUUACCACUUUGUGAUUCAUGACUGGGGUGAAGUCGUAACAAGGUAACCGUAGGGGAACCUGCGGUUGGAUCACCUCCUUACCAAGAAG